This 72-nucleotide transfer RNA is filed under the name Chlorotetraedron incus. RNAcentral describes it as "tRNA-Met". It matches the Rfam family "tRNA". Rfam says of the family: Transfer RNA (tRNA) molecules are approximately 80 nucleotides in length. Their secondary structure includes four short double-helical elements and three loops (D, anti-codon, and T loops). Lineage: Eukaryota; Viridiplantae; Chlorophyta; Chlorophyceae; Sphaeropleales; Neochloridaceae. The record is from RNAcentral.
CGCAGAAUUGAGCAAUUGGUUAGCUCCUCGGGCUCAUGAUCCGAUCGUGGUGGUUCGAAUCCAUCUUCUGCA